Molecule: ribosomal RNA, 601 nt
Filed under: uncultured Actinomycetes bacterium
Lineage: Bacteria; Bacillati; Actinomycetota; Actinomycetes
Description: bacterial SSU rRNA
Rfam family: Bacterial small subunit ribosomal RNA
Source: RNAcentral
GUGAGGUAAUGGCUCACCAAGGCAUCGACGGGUAGCUGGUCUGAGAGGACGAUCAGCCACACUGGGACUGAGACACGGCCCAGACUCCUACGGGAGGCAGCAGUGGGGAAUCUUGCGCAAUGGGCGAAAGCCUGACCCAGCAACGCCGCGUGAGGGAAGACGGCUCUCGGGUUGUAAACCUCUUUCAGCAGGGACGAAAUUGACGGUACCUGCUAUUCAAGCGCCGGCCAACUACGUGCCAACAGCCGCGGCAACACGUUCGGCGCAAGCGUUGUCCGGAUUUAUUGGGCGUAAAGAGCUCGUAGGCGGCUUCGUAAGUCGGGUGUGAAAACUCAGGGCUCAACUCUGAGACGCCACCCGAUACUGCGAUGACUUGAGUCCGGCUCAGGACUGCGGAAUUCCUGGUGUAGAGGUGAAAUGCGCAUAUAUCAGUGAGGAACACCAAUUCCGAAGGCUCUACUCUGGGCCGGUACUGACGCUGAGGAAUCAAAGCAUGGGGAGCGACUGAGAUUAGAUACCCUGGUAGUCCAUGCCGAAUACGUUGGGCACUAGGUGUGGGUCUCAUCCAACGAGAUCCGUGCCGUAGCUAAUUGAUUAAGUG